GGGCCCGUAGCUCAGCCUGGAUAGAGCGUCCCCCCCCUAAGGGGAAGGCCCCGCGUUCGAAUCGCGGCGGGCCCG
This 75-nucleotide transfer RNA is filed under the name Microcaldota archaeon. RNAcentral describes it as "tRNA-Arg". It matches the Rfam family "tRNA". Rfam says of the family: Transfer RNA (tRNA) molecules are approximately 80 nucleotides in length. Their secondary structure includes four short double-helical elements and three loops (D, anti-codon, and T loops). Further hydrogen bonds mediate the characteristic L-shaped molecular structure. tRNAs have two regions of fundamental functional importance: the anti-codon, which is responsible for specific mRNA codon recognition, and the 3' end, to which the tRNAs corresponding amino acid is attached (by aminoacyl-tRNA synthetases). tRNAs cope with the degeneracy of the genetic code in two manners: having more than one tRNA (with a specific anti-codon) for a particular amino acid; and 'wobble' base-pairing, i.e. permitting non-standard base-pairing at the 3rd anti-codon position. The record is from RNAcentral. Lineage: Archaea; Nanobdellati; Microcaldota.